Molecule: transfer RNA, 74 nt
Filed under: Phycisphaerales bacterium
Lineage: Bacteria; Pseudomonadati; Planctomycetota; Phycisphaerae; Phycisphaerales
Description: tRNA-Met
Rfam family: tRNA
About the family: Transfer RNA (tRNA) molecules are approximately 80 nucleotides in length.
Source: RNAcentral
GCCGAUAUAGCUCAGCUGGUUAGAGCGGGGGAUUCAUAAACCCCAGGUCGGUGGUUCGAGUCCACCUAUCGGCA